AUGUCACAGCGCGGCUCCAGGAUAAAGCCACGGCCCACGCGUCCAAACCCUGCGGCGCUGAGACCGGAACGUGACGCUGAGACCGGAGCAUGGUGGAUGUCACAGCCACCGGUGGGAUUUCGGGAGCCACCUCCGGCGUGGCACCUCGCCGUCCCACCUGCCACCCUGUGCGUGUGUCCUCCUGCGCUGGCACAGCAGCGCCCUCCGGGGACGCGACCCUGUGGCCUCAUGCCACCGAGUGCGGGGGCAUCACGUUGCCACGUCCCGCUGGUCCACUGCUGGCAUGUUGUAGUGUUUGUCCCUGCAAAACUGUGGCGUGGCCACCACGGUCACCUGGCAUGGCCACCAAGACCACCUGCUGUGGCCACCGUGGCUGCUGUCCAUGGUGGAGCUCCCGGCGCUGCUGUCCCUGGUGCUGGCCGUGGCACCCACCAUGGUGGCACACGCCAUGGUGGCACAGGGCCUCGGAGUUUCUUGCCGGUUGUCGGAGGUCCGUUGGUACACGUGGGUGCAGCAGAGUGUGGCUGGCCACAGAGCCAUCAGGUGCUGGGGGCCACGGCCUGGCAGCGUGGGCAUGGCCCUUGGCGGGAGCAUGGUGGUGGCAGCGGUAGUGCUGGCGGUGGUGCUCCUGCUACUCACCUCCAACCCCCCGGUGACACCCAGCACACAGCGCUUCCACCUCCAUCCCUGUCCUCCUCCUUCUGUCCCUUCAUCCCUCCGUCCUUCCCUCUCACCCUUCAACCCUUUCGUUCCACACUUCCCUUAGUCCCUUUCCUCCUCCCAUCCAUCCCGUUGGCCGUCCUUCCCUCCCUACACUCUUUUCCUUCUCCUGUCCUUCCUUCUGUCCAUUUUUCCUUCCCCCUUAUUCAUUUCCUACUUCUUCCUGUCCAUCCUUCUCUCCCUCCUUUUGUAUUUGUCUAUCCAUUCAUCCUUCCACACCUUUGCUCCUUCUUUCCAUACCUGUCCUCUCUUUCUUCAUCCCUUUCCUACUUCCUUCCAUCCUUCUGA
This 1008-nucleotide long non-coding RNA is filed under the name Numida meleagris (helmeted guineafowl). Its description in RNAcentral is "lncRNA (ENSNMEG00000017464.1)". Lineage: Eukaryota; Metazoa; Chordata; Aves; Galliformes; Numididae. The record is from RNAcentral.